AGGCGUCACCAGCGCUGAGGGUUUGUGACCGCGCCAGCGGCAGGACACGCCGACCGGACCGCCCUGGAGCUCAGCAGGAGGCGCUGAAGAGGAACCCGGCGACGCGGGAAGACGGCCGUUGGCGCACGUGGCGUUUUCCUCUGCCGAAGAUGGGUUCGUUCCCUCGGCCCUCUGAAAGCUAAGUGGAGGCGCGAGGGCUGGGAAGGGGCCGGGAAUGGCAGGGACGGGGGGUUUAGCUCUGCUAAGGGCAAGGGCCGUCCAGGAACCGCGCCCUUGGCGCGGGUCAAGGGCCCGGGGACCUUUACCGUGCGAUGCCAGCGUGUGCCGGGCAGGGCAGCUCCAGCCUGCGUCUGCGUUGUGGUGUAGUUCGGGAAGCCUGCCUUGCGCCUGUCAGCCGAUCCUGGGGUCUCGUUGCGUUCCAGGGGCACGACAGGCCUCUCGGGUGCCAUCCCGGGAUCUGGAACGCCGGUGCCGAUUGGGCGCCGGUUUUCUGGUGUCGGGAGCCGAAAGCGUUGUGGUUCUUGCCUUUCGGCCACUUCUGUUCAGGGGUGUUUGCGGCGUUGUACUUGGCUGUGCCGGCAGCCGUGCUCUCUACCCAUCCAGUCUAAGGGACUGGCACUUCUUCCCAGCAUCUUGAAGGUUUUAGGUCUUGUAGCAGCUUCUCGUAUUUGUGCCGUCUCUGUGUGUUUGCGCCAGUGCCGCCGUCUCUGCGUGUUUGCGCCAGUGCCGCCGUCUCAUAAGAGGCCGUGACGUUCGGCUCUCAUUUUUCUGGGGUUGCAGUAGAGGCUCCUCGCCUCACCCCUGCCUCCCCGCAGGUUAUUUUUAUCGUUGCCGUCUCUGGUUCGGAGUCAUUUUUGUUGCGGAGCAUUUUUGGUGUUAUUGCUGUCGGGUCGUCUAUAAUGUUGUGUGGAGCAUCUGUCUAAGCACGUGCGCGUUUGGCUCGGAGCUGCUCUGCCCGGAGGUGUAGAGUCAGGAGCGGGCGGACUGAGUUUAGGAGUCCACGAUUGAUCUGUGGACACGUUAUCCUGCGUAGGCAGAGGUUGUGCGGUCAUCUGGGACGGAGUAGCCGUGGGCAGGGGAGCGGACAGUCCGUUCCCCAGUGGUCUUUGGGACUCAAUUAGACCUUCUUGUGGGAUUCCUGAAUAGAAAGCAGACCUGUGGAACGGUCAAGCUGUUGAUGAGCUCCUGGGUAACUUGUUGAAUACCUUGGUUUCAGAUGCAGAGGGACAACUCGGCACGAACGAGCGACGGAGGAGGCGAGCCGAGCGCCGUGUGAAGCAAAGUGGAAAGCUGGGUAUCGGCAGCGCAGCUCCUCUGGCAAGAUGUUGAAGAGGAACCCGGCGACGCAGGAAGAUCCCCGUUAGCGCACGUGGCGUUUUCUUCCGUCGAAGAUGGGUUCGGUCCCUCGGCCCUCUGAAAGCUAAGUGGAGGCACGGGGGCUGGGAAGGGGCCGGGAGUCGCAGGGACGGGGGGUUUAGCUCCGCUAAGGGCAAGGGCCGUCCAGUAAGCAGGUGGGGCGGUGCGUGGUGUCAAAGGGAAGAUGUGCCUCGUGCCUUUAUACUGUGCGCUCGCUCAGCUCAGCGAGCGUGUGUUUUCUUUUGUUGCUGUAGAUGCUGAGGAGGAACCCGGUGAUGCUGGAAUAUCCCUGUCAGCGCACGUGGCGUUUUCUUCUGUUGAAGACGGAUUCAGUUUCUUGGCCCUCUGAAAGCUAAGUGGAGGCUGGGGGCCUGGGAAGGGGCUGAAAACUGCAGGGAGGGGGGUUAAGUUCCGUUCGGGGCAAGGGUUAUCCGGGAACAGUCUCCCUUGGGCAGGUGAAGGGUCCAGGGAAUUUCACAGCGCGAUGCCAGCGUGCGCCGGGCAGGGCAGCUCCAGCCAACGUCUGCGUCGCUGUGUAGUUCGGGAAGCCUGCCUUGCGCCUGUGUGACGAUCCUGGGGUCUCAUCGCGUUUGAGGGACACAAAAGUUUACUCGGGUGCCAUUCCGGGAUCUGCAACGCCGGUGCCGAUUGGCGUAGCGCCAAUUGGGUGCCGGUUCUGUCGUAUCAGCAUUUGAAAGCGUGGCAGGUCCUUGCGUUUUGGAUGUUUCUGGUCAGUUGUGUGUUAUGGCGUCAUUGAGGGCUGCGUUGGCAGCUCUGCUCUCUACCCAUCCAGUCUUGGGGACUGGCACUUCUUCCCAGCAUCUCUGUGUGUGUGCGCCAGUGCCGCCGUCUCUGUGUGUGUGCGCCAGUGCCGCCGUCUCUGUGUGUGUGCGCCAGUGCCGCCGUCUCUGUGUGUGUGCGCCAGUGCCGCCGUCUCUGUGUGUGUGCGCCAGUGCCGCCGUCUCUGUGUGUGUGCGCCAGUGCCGCCGUCUCUGUGUGUGUGCGCCAGUGCCGCCGUCUCUGUGUGUGUGCGCCAGUGCCGCCGUCUCUGUGUGUGUGCGCCAGUGCCGCCGUCUCUGUGUGUGUGCGCCAGUGCCGCCGUCUCUGUGUGUGUGCGCCAGUGCCGCCGUCUCUGUGUGUGUGCGCCAGUGCCGCCGUCUCAUAAGAGGCCGUGACGUUCGGCUCCUUUUUUUUCUGGGGUUGCAGUAGAGGCUCCUCGCCUCACUGGCUUAGCGAGCGCGUGCUUUCUCGUGCUCCUGCAGGCGCUGAAGAGGAACCCGGCGACGCGGGAAGACGGUCGUUGGCGCACGUGGCGUUUUCCUCUGCCGAAGAUGGGUUCGGUCCCUCGGCCGCUUCUGUUCAGGGGUGUUUGCGGCGUUGUCCUGGGCUGUGCCGGCAGCCGUGCUCUCUACCCAUCCAGUCUCAGGGACUGGCACUUCUUCCCAGCAUCUUGAAGUUUUUAGCGUUUGCCGCAGCUUUUUGCGCUGGUGUUGCUCUCUCUGUUUGUUGUGGCGGUGCCAUUUCAUAAGGGUCCGUGGAGUUCUGUUCCUUUUUAUUCUGGUGUUGCAGCAGAGGCUCCUUGCCUUCCCACUGCCUCCCUGCAGGUUGUUUUGAUCGAUGCCAUGUCUCUUCUUGGAAUCGUUCUUGUUGUUGAACAUUUUUGGUGCUGUUUCAGUCAUGUGGUCUAUCACGUUCUGUGGAGUCUUGUUGUGCACAUGUGCAUGUUGGGUGGGAGCUGUUGUGCCCAGAGUUGUAGAGUCGGGGUGGGUGGACUGAGCUCUAGGUGUCCACCGUUCACUUGUUGACAUAUUAAAUUGCGUAGGCAAAGUUCAUACGAUCAUCUGGCACGGAGUUGCGAUGGGUAGGAGGGAGGACUUUCCCUGUACUGGUGUUUUACAGUUCAUACUCAAGACUGUUGUUAACUAAUGUUUUCUGUAGUGUGAUGUUUUUUCAGAGUAUUCUAACUUUUCUUUUUUUUUUUUUUUAGGUGACCACAUUGUUAAUAUGACUGUAAAUAGUAUCUACAGCUGCACAAAUCAACUACCUGUCUGAGGUCAGUACAAAGGAUCCUCUGAGAAUCAAGAAGACCCCAGAGUCAGCUGUUGCUAUUGGACUGUAUUGUCACUUUUCCAUGUGAGAGAUGGGACCUGACACACCAAUGUGAUGUUUACCGAGUUCACUUUAUUGUCGGACUUUAUACAAAGCUGCCCUCUCCACGUGCCUUGCAACAAUGUGAUUGGUUGUAUCACAUGCUAUACAAUAACGUGAUAGGCUGCAUGCACUGUCCACGCGCUCUGCACAUGUGUGUCUGGCGCUUGCUCAUUCACUGUUACCUUCUUAUGGGGCUCCUUUUGUUUCUCUUGUCUCUGGCUUCACCUCUCAGCCAGGCUGGCGACAACCCCAUCCCCCCGGGGCGGGGGGGGGACUCUGCCUCGCUAUCUCCCCCUCGUUAAUAUUUUAUUAAAUAAAAAAUACCCUGUAUUUCACACUGUCUUCAAAGCAUGAUACAGAUUAAGAACAUUAAGGCUAAUAUAAUUACAAUUAACAAGAACAGUUCCAUUUUCAAUAUUCCUUUUAACCAGCAGGGUAUCCAACUCAGAAAACCCAACAUCUUCUGUUAUUUUAAUGUUCAGCAAAUCUUCUAUCUUAUGAAGAGUUUGGUUGUAUGUGUUGUUUGAAAUUAAAAUAUAGCUGUGACCAUGGCCCAUAACACGAAAUUAAUCGCUGCUCUGUUUUACAAAGUGGUGUGACAAUCUUGAAGCACUGCCCCCCAUGCUUAGCAGAACUAAGACCUUGUUAUGCCUUAAACAUCUGGUUUUUGUUACGUGGGGAGGAAGAGAGAGAUGACACCUCAUCUUAUCUUUCCCAAAGUUUUAUGGCUAUGAAGGCAGAUGCCUUGGAAGAUAAGGACAAUUGACAGUGUUGCCGUGAAAGGUUUCACGGCCUAAUUGGGAUGAUAGAGAUGAACCAUCUGUCGAACAGCCAACUACCAGAAGAGACCACGAACCAACAGCUACCCCUGACGGGCGAGACAUCUCGCUUCUGCUCAGUACCAUGAACUUCUCCUAGUUUGAAGACCCCAGAGCCGUUCCAGAAGAGUCUUCCUAAUUAGCAGGAAGAGCGAGAAGAGGGAGGAGAUGAACCGCCUUAUACUAUCUUGCAUGUAAAUGAACUGGCUUAUUAAACAACCUCACGUACGAUACAGGUCACCAGCAUGUAAAUCUUCAACGCGUCCCCUACUCCACAGGUCGUCACAGGACCGACGUGCCUGAGGAGUGGUGAUAUCUUACUCUUUGUCUCUCUCUCUCUCUGCCUUUCUUUUUCUGAUAUCUUAGUUUUCCUCUUCUCUCUCUCUCUCUCUUCCUUUUCCUUACAAUGGUAUUUAUAUGUUUAAGUUCUGCUGCUAAAGUCUUGUUAAGUUUUGCAUUACAGUUACUAAUUGUUGCCAAUCCACUGCUUUUAGAAGGGUUUUUGCUGACAAUGUAUUGAUAAGUUUUGUGCUAUUGUAACAUACUUUUGCCAAGUCACUGAUUGCUGUAAUUUGUAUACCACCACGCGCUUCUAGUAAAUUCAUAAUUGGACCCCCGCA
Molecule: long non-coding RNA, 4945 nt
Organism: Columba livia (rock pigeon)
Lineage: Eukaryota; Metazoa; Chordata; Aves; Columbiformes; Columbidae
Exons: 4
Source: RefSeq, a predicted model, not a curated record